UACGUAGGGGGCAAGCGUUAUCCGGAUUUACUGGGUGUAAAGGGAGCGUAGGCGGCGAUGCAAGUCAGAAGUGAAAGCCCGGGGCUCAACUCCGGGACUGCUUUUGAAACUGUGUUGCUAGACUGCAGGAGAGGUAAGUGGAAUUCCUAGUGUAGCGGUGAAAUGCGUAGAUAUUAGGAGGAACACCAGUGGCGAAGGCGGCUUACUGGACUGUAAAUGACGCUGAGGCUCGAAAGCGUGGGGAGCAAACAGG
RNAcentral lists this ribosomal RNA (253 nucleotides) under uncultured bacterium. RNAcentral's name for it is "partial 16S ribosomal RNA". It matches the Rfam family "Bacterial small subunit ribosomal RNA", at positions 524 to 776 of the family's 1533-position model. The record is from RNAcentral.